Molecule: non-coding RNA, 286 nt
Organism: Pelobates cultripes (western spadefoot toad)
Lineage: Eukaryota; Metazoa; Chordata; Amphibia; Anura; Pelobatidae
Source: the annotation of a GenBank genome assembly
AUUGGUUAUGAGGUAAAUUAUAUAAUGAAUGAUAAUCAUUGAAAGCUUUUCCUAUUCUCUCUGGAGAUAGGCAGGUCUUGCCCUUAUAUAAGAUUUUAGAAAAAUUUUUUGUUUAGUUUCUCUUCUGAGUCUGUUAGUUAACAGUUUAUUUGCCCUAUUCCCUGUGUAGUAAAAAGUUGCCUUUAAUCUUUCAAGUGUUUUGCUUACUUUCAUUAUUAGUAGUUCGUUAAUCCUGUCUUGUAGGGUAGAGAUUCUAUUUGACAGCUGCUCAUUUGGGGCUAUUUUG